CCUACGGGUGGCUGCAGUGAGGAAUAUUGGUCAAUGGACGAGAGUCUGAACCAGCCAAGCCGCGUGAAGGAUGACUGUCCUAUGGGUUGUAAACCUCUUUUAUAUGGGAAUAAAAUGUUCCACGUGUGGGCUUUUGUAUGUACCUUAUGAAUAAGGAUCGGCUAACUCCGUGCCAGCAGCCGCGGUAAUACGGAGGAUCCGAGCGUUAUCCGGAUUUAUUGGGUUUAAAGGGAGCGUAGGUGGAUUGUUAAGUCAGGUGUGAAAGUUUGCGGCUCAACCGUAAAAUUGCAGUUGAAACUGGCAGUCGUGAGUACGGGAGAGGUAGGCGGAAUUCGUGGUGUAGCGGUGAAAUGCUUAGAUAUCGCGAAGAACUCCGAUUGCGAAGGCAGCACGCUGGACUGCAACUGACACUGAGGCACGAAAGUGUGGGUAUCGAACAGGAUUAGAUACCCGUGUAGUC
RNAcentral lists this ribosomal RNA (460 nucleotides) under uncultured bacterium. RNAcentral's name for it is "partial 16S ribosomal RNA". It matches the Rfam family "Bacterial small subunit ribosomal RNA", at positions 338 to 795 of the family's 1533-position model. The record is from RNAcentral.